This 548-nucleotide ribosomal RNA is filed under the name uncultured bacterium. Its description in RNAcentral is "bacterial SSU rRNA". It matches the Rfam family "Bacterial small subunit ribosomal RNA", at positions 355 to 896 of the family's 1533-position model. The record is from RNAcentral.
UGGGGAAUUUUGGACAAUGGGCGCAAGCCUGAUCCAGCCAUGCCGCGUGCGGGAAGAAGGCCUUCGGGUUGUAAACCGCUUUUGUCAGGGAAGAAAAGGUUCUGGCUAAUACCUGGGACUCAUGACGGUACCUGAAGAAUAAGCACCGGCUAACUACGUGCCAGCAGCCGCGGUAAUACGUAGGGUGCAAGCGUUAAUCGGAAUUACUGGGCGUAAGGCGUGCGCAGGCGGUUAUGCAAGACAGAGGUGAAAUCCCCGGGCUCAACCUGGGAACUGCCUUUGUGACUGCAUGGCUAGAGUACGGUAGAGGGGGGUAGAAUUCCGCGUGUAGCAGUGAAAUGCGUAGAUAUGCGGAGGAACACCGAUGGCGAAGGCAAUCCCCUGGACCUGUACUGACGCUCAUGCACGAAAGCGUGGGGAGCAAACAGGAUUAGAUACCCUGGUAGUCCACGCCCUAAACGAUGUCAACUGGUUGUUGGGAGGGUUUCUUCUCAGUAACGUAGCUAACGCGUGAAGUUGACCGCCUGGGGAGUACGGCCGCAAGGUUG